AGCGAACGCUGGCGGCAGGCCUAACACAUGCAAGUCGAACGAACUCUUCGGAGUUAGUGGCGGACGGGUGAGUAACACGUGGGAACGUGCCCUUAGGUUCGGAAUAACUCAGGGAAACUUGUGCUAAUACCGAAUGUGCCCUUCGGGGGAAAGAUUUAUCGCCUUUAGAGCGGCCCGCGUCUGAUUAGCUAGUUGGUGAGGUAAAGGCUCACCAAGGCGACGAUCAGUAGCUGGUCUGAGAGGAUGAUCAGCCACAUUGGGACUGAGACACGGCCCAAACUCCUACGGGAGGCAGCAGUGGGGAAUCUUGCGCAAUGGGCGAAAGCCUGACGCAGCCAUGCCGCGUGAAUGAUGAAGGUCUUAGGAUUGUAAAAUUCUUUCACCGGGGACGAUAAUGACGGUACCCGGAGAAGAAGCCCCGGCUAACUUCGUG
RNAcentral lists this ribosomal RNA (433 nucleotides) under uncultured bacterium. Its description in RNAcentral is "partial 16S ribosomal RNA". It matches the Rfam family "Bacterial small subunit ribosomal RNA", at positions 29 to 507 of the family's 1533-position model. The record is from RNAcentral.